UACGGGGGGAGCAAGCGUUGUUCGGAUUUACUGGGCGUAAAGGGCGCGUAGGCGGUCUGUCGCGUCGGCUGUGAAAACCCGAGGCUCAACCUCGGGCCUGCAGUCGAUACGGGCAAACUAGAGUACUGCAGGGGAGACUGGAAUUCCUGGUGUAGCGGUGAAAUGCGCAGAUAUCAGGAGGAACACCGGUGGCGAAGGCGGGUCUCUGGGCAGUAACUGACGCUGAGGAGCGAAAGCGUGGGGAGCGAACAGG
This 253-nucleotide ribosomal RNA is filed under the name uncultured bacterium. RNAcentral describes it as "partial 16S ribosomal RNA". It matches the Rfam family "Bacterial small subunit ribosomal RNA", at positions 524 to 776 of the family's 1533-position model. The record is from RNAcentral.